This 389-nucleotide ribosomal RNA is filed under the name uncultured bacterium. Its description in RNAcentral is "bacterial SSU rRNA". It matches the Rfam family "Bacterial small subunit ribosomal RNA", at positions 28 to 403 of the family's 1533-position model. The record is from RNAcentral.
GAUGAACGCUGGCGGCGUGCUUAACACAUGCAAGUCGAGCGAAGCGCUUUGAAGUUUUCGGACGGAUGAGUGACUGAGCGGCGGACGGGUGAGUAACGCGUGGGUAACCUGCCUCAUACAGGGGGGAUAACAGUCAGAAAUGACUGCUAAUACCGCAUAAGCGCACAGUACCGCAUGGUACGGUGUAGAAAAACUCCGGCGGUAUGAGAUGGACCCGCGUCUGAUUAGGUAGUUGGUGAGGUAACGGCCCACCAAGCCGACGAUCAGUAGCCGGCCUGAGAGGGCGACCGGGCCACAUUGGGACUGAGACACGGGCCCAAACUCCUACGGGAGGCAGCAGUGGGGAAUAUUGCACAAUGGGGGAAACCCUGAUGCAGCGACGCCGCGUG